RNAcentral lists this microRNA precursor (99 nucleotides) under Drosophila guanche. The record is from RNAcentral. Lineage: Eukaryota; Metazoa; Arthropoda; Insecta; Diptera; Drosophilidae.
AGUUGCAUGAAGAUAAAGAGAGAGAGAGAGAGAGAGAGAGAGUGCACCACUGAGAUGUUACUUCUCUCUCUCUCUCUCUCUCUGUCUCUCGCUUUUUCU